CAGCUCAUGGCAAGGCCAGAUCCUUAACCCACUGAGUGAGGCCAGGGAUGGAACCUGCAUCCUCAUGGAUGCUAGUUUGGUUCAUUAACCACUGAGCCACGACGGGAAUGCCCAAAAAACAAAUUAAAAAUAAAAGAUAAAAGGGUUUUCUCUAGACUGACAGAGCUGUCUCCCAGAACUCACUUGCUGACCAGUGGUCAAAGGGGAAAUCAUUUGUUAGCCCCUCCCUGAGGGGGAAGUGCUGAGUAAAGGGCUCAGAGGGCGUCUUCUCUCCCCUGUGUCUGCCUGCUAGAUGUUCCUCUGCAGCUGAACAGCUGGCAGGCAGCCCGAGAUGGGGCCCUGCUCAGGAAACCCCCACCUCCUUCUUGAGAAAAUCCUCCUGUUUCCUGUUUCCAAUGCCCUAGGUGUCUGCCGCAGUGGGACCAAUAGUGAUGGAGGUCCUGCUCCUGGAGUUCAGGAUUCUGGAGCUCCUGAUCCUCUGCAGGGGAUCCGAGGAGGUUCUGUGCUGUUUCCUUUGCCCAAGAAGCAAGACGCUGAGCUGGAGGAGGUCACGUGGGGCUUUGGUCCUGGGUCAGAGUACAGAGUCCUGCUGCGAGUCCGACCUGGGAAAGCUCCAAUAUGGGUGAGCCUCCAGGACGGGUACCAGCAGAGGGUCCAUGUGCCCAACAUGACGUCCCUGAAGAUUGAGAACCUGACCCCCGAGGACAGUGGGCUGUACCGGGCUCGAGUUAGCUUCACUGGAGGAGUAGAUUUUACCCAGUUUUCCACCUCACUGUCUAUGAGCCUGUGCCCAUUCCCCAGAUCCUGGUCCACUCACCAUCCAUCACGCAAGGCUGGUGCAAUGUCACCAUUGAGUGCAGGAUCUCAUGGGGCACAGAGGACCUGA
RNAcentral lists this long non-coding RNA (886 nucleotides) under Sus scrofa (pig). RNAcentral's name for it is "lncRNA (ENSSSCG00070027211.1)". The record is from RNAcentral. Lineage: Eukaryota; Metazoa; Chordata; Mammalia; Artiodactyla; Suidae.